Molecule: ribosomal RNA, 371 nt
Filed under: uncultured bacterium
Lineage: Bacteria
Description: bacterial SSU rRNA
Rfam family: Bacterial small subunit ribosomal RNA
Source: RNAcentral
GUAGGGGGCAAGCGUUGUCCGGAUUUAUUGGGCGUAAAGAGCGUGUAGGCGGCUAGAUAGGUCCGUUGUGAAAACUCGAGGCUCAACCUCGAGACGUCGAUGGAAACCAUCUGGCUAGAGUCCGGAAGAGGAGAGUGGAAUUCCUGGUGUAGCGGUGAAAUGCGCAGAUAUCAGGAAGAACACCCGUGGCGAAGGCGGCUCUCUGGUACGUGACUGACGCUGAGACGCGAAAGCGUGGGGAGCAAACAGGAUUAGAUACCCUGGUAGUCCACGCCGUAAACGAUGGGUGCUAGGUGUGGGGGGUGUCGACUCCCUCCGUGCCGAAGCUAACGCAUUAAGCACCCCGCCUGGGGAGUACGGCCGCAAGGCUA